RNAcentral lists this transfer RNA (73 nucleotides) under Solirubrobacterales bacterium. RNAcentral describes it as "tRNA-Asn". It matches the Rfam family "tRNA". Rfam says of the family: Transfer RNA (tRNA) molecules are approximately 80 nucleotides in length. RNAcentral also lists the same sequence under 1 other name. Lineage: Bacteria; Bacillati; Actinomycetota; Thermoleophilia; Solirubrobacterales. The record is from RNAcentral.
UCCGGGGUAGCUCAAUAGGCAGAGCGUCACGCUGUUAACGUGCGGGUUGUGGGUUCGAGUCCCACCCCCGGAG